This 484-nucleotide ribosomal RNA is filed under the name uncultured bacterium. Its description in RNAcentral is "partial 16S ribosomal RNA". It matches the Rfam family "Bacterial small subunit ribosomal RNA", at positions 30 to 507 of the family's 1533-position model. The record is from RNAcentral.
AUUGAACGCUGGCGGCAGGCCUAACACAUGCAAGUCGAGCGGAUGAAGGGUGCUUGCUCCUGGAUUCAGCGGCGGACGGGUGAGUAAUGCCUAGGAAUCUGCCUGGUAGUGGGGGAUAACGUCCGGAAACGGGCGCUAAUACCGCAUACGUCCUGAGGGAGAAAGUGGGGGAUCUUCGGACCUCACGCUCUCAGAUGAGUCUAGGUCGGAUUAGCUAGUUGGUGGGGUAAAGGGCUACCAAGGCGACGAUCCGUAACUGGUCUGAGAGGAUGAUCAGUCACACUGGAACUGAGACACGGUCCAGACUCCUACGGGAGGCAGCAGUGGGGAAUAUUGGACAAUGGGCGAAAGCCUGAUCCAGCCAUGCCGCGUGUGUGAAGAAGGUCUUCGGAUUGUAAAGCACUUUAAGUUGGGAGGAAGGGCAGUAAGUUAAUACCUUGCUGGUUUGACGUUACCAACAGAAUAAGCACCGGCUAACUACGUG